RNAcentral lists this ribosomal RNA (588 nucleotides) under uncultured bacterium. Its description in RNAcentral is "bacterial SSU rRNA". It matches the Rfam family "Bacterial small subunit ribosomal RNA", at positions 338 to 916 of the family's 1533-position model. The record is from RNAcentral.
CCUACGGGAGGCAGCAGUAGGGAAUCUUCCACAAUGGACGAAAGUCUGAUGGAGCAACGCCGCGUGAGUGAUGAAGGUUUUCGGAUCGUAAAACUCUGUUGUAAGGGAAGAACAAGUACGAGAGGUAAUGCUCGUACCUUGACGGUACCUUGCGAGAAAGCCACGGCUAACUACGUGCCAGCAGCCGCGGUAAUACGUAGGUGGCAAGCGUUGUCCGGAAUUAUUGGGCGUAAAGCGCGUGCAGGCGGCCUUUUAAGUCUGAUGUGAAAGCCCCCGGCUCAACCGGGGAGGGUCAUUGGAAACUGGAAGGCUUGAGUACAGAAGAGAAGAGUGGAAUUCCAUGUGUAGCGGUGAAGUGCGUAGAGAUGUGGAGGAACACCAGUGGCGAAGGCGACUCUUUGGUCUGUAACUGACGCUGAGGCGCGAAAGCGUGGGGAGCAAACAGGAUUAGAUACCCUGGUAGUCCACGCCGUAAACGAUGAGUGCUAGGUGUUGGGGGGUUUCCGCCCCUCAGUGCUGAAGCUAACGCAUUAAGCACUCCGCCUGGGGAGUACGGCCGCAAGGCNGAAACUCAAAUGAAAUUGACGG